RNAcentral lists this ribosomal RNA (254 nucleotides) under uncultured bacterium. Its description in RNAcentral is "partial 16S ribosomal RNA". It matches the Rfam family "Bacterial small subunit ribosomal RNA", at positions 524 to 776 of the family's 1533-position model. The record is from RNAcentral.
UACGUAGGGGGCGAGCGUUGUCCGGAUUUAUUGGGCGUAAAGAGCGUGUAGGCGGCCAGGUAGGUCUGCUGUGAAAACUCGAGGCUCAACCUCGAGACGUCGGCGGAAACCAUCUGGCUAGAGUCCGGAAGAGGAGAGUGGAAUUCCUGGUGUAGCGGUGAAAUGCGCAGAUAUCAGGAAGAACACCCGUGGCGAAGGCGGCUCUCUGGGCCGUAACUGACCGCUGAGGAGCGAAAGCAUGGGGAGCGAACAGG